AGGACUAACGCUGGCGGCGUGCCUAACACAUGCAAGUCGAACGAGGUAGCAAUACCUAGUGGCAGACGGGUGAGUAACGCGUGGUCAACCUACCUCUUAGUGGGGGAUAACUAGCCGAAAGGUUAGCUAAUACCGCAUACGAUCGUCGCGAGGCAUCUCGUGACGAUGAAAGGAGCAAUUCGCUAAGAGAGGGGGACUGCGUCCCAUUAGUUAGUUGGUGGGGUAAUGGCCCACCAAGACUCCGAUGGGUAGCUGGCUUGAGAGAGCGACCAGCCACACUGGAACUGAGACACGGUCCAGACUCCUACGGGAGGCAGCAGUGAGGAAUUUUCCGCAAUGGGCGCAAGCCUGACGGAGCGACGCCGCGUGUGGGAAGAAGGCCUUCGGGUCGUAACCACUGUCGAAGGGGACGAUAUUGACGGUACCCUUGGAGGAAGCCCCGGCUAACUACGCGCCAGCAGCCGC
This 465-nucleotide ribosomal RNA is filed under the name uncultured bacterium. RNAcentral's name for it is "SSU rRNA". It matches the Rfam family "Bacterial small subunit ribosomal RNA", at positions 26 to 518 of the family's 1533-position model. The record is from RNAcentral.